UACGGAGGAUGCGAGUGUUAUCCGGAUUUAUUGGGUUUAAAGGGUGCGUAGGCGGACGCUUAAGUCAGCGGUAAAAUUGCGGGGCUCAACCUCGUCGAGCCGUUGAAACUGGGUGUCUUGAGUGGGCGAGAAGUACGCGGAAUGCGUGGUGUAGCGGUGAAAUGCAUAGAUAUCACGCAGAACUCCGAUUGCGAAGGCAGCGUACCGGCGCCCAACUGACGCUGAAGCACGAAGGCGUGGGUAUCGAACAGG
This 252-nucleotide ribosomal RNA is filed under the name uncultured bacterium. RNAcentral describes it as "partial 16S ribosomal RNA". It matches the Rfam family "Bacterial small subunit ribosomal RNA", at positions 524 to 776 of the family's 1533-position model. The record is from RNAcentral.